UACGGGGAGCAGCAGGCGCGAAAACUUCGCACUGUGCGAAAGCACGACGAGGGAAUCCCAAGUGCUGGCUCGUAAGAGUCAGCUGUUUCUCUGUCUAAAAAACAGGGAGAGUAAGAGCUGGGUAAGACGGGUGCCAGCAGCGCGGUAA
RNAcentral lists this ribosomal RNA (148 nucleotides) under uncultured archaeon. RNAcentral's name for it is "partial 16S ribosomal RNA". It matches the Rfam family "Archaeal small subunit ribosomal RNA", at positions 324 to 473 of the family's 1478-position model. The record is from RNAcentral.